UUCAAUGUUGAAAAUAAUCCAGUCAAGAAUUUUUUUUCCUAAAAGUUGUGGGCAUAAGAUUCAGGGAUUUCAAGGCCAAGUUAGUGAGUGGUUGGAUUACUGAAACAAGACAGAGAGUUUGAAAUCAGUGAAGUGUGCACAACAAACGGGCAAUACAGAGUGCGGCUACUACGUGAUGAAGUUCAUGUACGAUAUAGUCACAAGAUCUCGAAAAGUUAUUUAAUAAUCCGAGGGAGCGGCCUUUCACCUUUGAGGAGAUAGAUGAAGUUCGAGAAAUGUUGGCAAACUUCAUUACCAAUGAUUGUCUUUGAUAUUUUCUUGUACUGUAUCUUAAAUUACGGAUGCUAGCUAGUUUUUCAUAUGAUUGUAAUGUA
Spinacia oleracea (spinach) is the source of this 374-nucleotide long non-coding RNA. RefSeq lists it as uncharacterized. The transcript has 3 exons. The record is from RefSeq and is a predicted model, not a curated record. NCBI's taxonomy places the organism in Eukaryota, Viridiplantae, Streptophyta, Magnoliopsida, Caryophyllales, Amaranthaceae.